Biomphalaria pfeifferi is the source of this 395-nucleotide non-coding RNA. The record is from the annotation of a GenBank genome assembly. NCBI's taxonomy places the organism in Eukaryota, Metazoa, Mollusca, Gastropoda, Planorbidae.
UUUUACUUCUUUUUUUCUUUUGCUAUUCCCAGCUAUCAUAAUGAAACAGUAAUUACACACCAGUCUAGCAUGCUCAUGAUAAAGGAUCUACCUAUCCACAUAUUGUACUUUGUGUGUUCAACAUAGUCAAAUGUUGUAAGCCAAAUGAGGAGAAACUAAACUUCACAACUCUUCCUAGAAUAUAAGGAACAAUAAAAUUCAGUCAAAGUCUAGACCUGCAGUGUGGCAUCAUUUAUAAUGAGCCUUUUAAGGGACUCAUUUUAUUUGUAUUUUAGAUUUUAAAAAAGACAUUUCAAUAUGAGUAGGGGAGAUAGCUAACAUUUUUUUUUCUUCUUAUCUUAUAAAAUACAGACGUCACUUCAAAAAAUAAGAUGAUUGCGUCCUAUAUGUUUUCC